UCCUUCUUAUCGAAGGCAGUUCCCUAAGAGUGCAUCCCUUGCGGGAUUAGCAACAUAGGAUGGGGGUUGCGCUCGUUGCGGGACUUAACCCAACACCUCACGGCACGAGCUGACGACAGCCAUGCAGCGGCUGUGCCGGCUCCCUUGCGGGUCCCUCCCCUUUCAGGUUGGUACCACCGGCAUGUCAAGCCCAGGUAAGGUUCUUCGCGUUGCAUCGAAUUAAACCACAUGCUCCACCGCUUGUGCGGGCCCCCGUCAAUUCCUUUGAGUUUCAGCCUUGCGGCCGUACUCCCCAGGCGGGGCACUUAAUGCGUUAGCGCCGGCACCCAGGGGGUCGCUCCCCCAGGCACCUAGUGCCCAUCGUUUACGGCGUGGACUAC
Molecule: unclassified non-coding RNA, 380 nt
Filed under: uncultured bacterium
Lineage: Bacteria
Description: contains 16S-23S intergenic spacer region
Source: RNAcentral